This 253-nucleotide ribosomal RNA is filed under the name uncultured bacterium. RNAcentral's name for it is "partial 16S ribosomal RNA". It matches the Rfam family "Bacterial small subunit ribosomal RNA", at positions 524 to 776 of the family's 1533-position model. The record is from RNAcentral.
UACGAAGGGGGCUAGCGUUGUCCGGAAUUAUUGGGCGUAAAGGGCUCGUAGGCGGUUUGUCGCGUCGGGAGUGAAAACUCAGGGCUUAACCCUGAGCCUGCUUCCGAUACGGGCAGACUAGAGGUAUGCAGGGGAGAAUGGAAUUCCUGGUGUAGCGGUGAAAUGCGCAGAUAUCAGGAGGAACACCGGUGGCGAAGGCGGUUCUCUGGGCAUUACCUGACGCUGAGGAGCGAAAGUGUGGGGAGCGAACAGG